Molecule: non-coding RNA, 593 nt
Organism: Malus domestica (apple)
Lineage: Eukaryota; Viridiplantae; Streptophyta; Magnoliopsida; Rosales; Rosaceae
Source: RefSeq, a predicted model, not a curated record
GUUUUUACUUUACCUUUUCUCUUCGUUUUUUCAUCUCCGUUGCUCUGCAAUUUUCUCCUUCAUCGCUCCCUCUUUUGCUGCCAAAUCUUUGCUCUUUCUUCGCAAAAUAGUCUCAAAAGAGAUCCUGACUUUAAUUUUAUUGGGGAUUUGGUUUCCGGUCUUCUCCGGUGUUGGACCCUUUGUUUGAUUUUAUUGGCUGUUUUGUUUCCGGUCUUCUCCGUUGUCGAACCCUUUGUUGGUCAGCGUUUUGUUCUCAUCUUGCCAUCGUUGGGAUCAAAAUUUGAAGGUCAUUAGGCUCCUUUUGCUUCCAAAGUUUUUGAACCUGACCGAAGUCAGUUUGCUGAAUCGCUUUUGCGUGUUAGUGAUUUUUUUUUGGCAGUGAAAUCAUCGCUGCCACCUAACAAAUCUAGCUGCUGUAAUAUCAAUUGUUAUUGUUGGAGGGAGAAUGAAAAACAGAUUCUUUGCAAGCAUCACACAAAGGCCAUCGUUUAUUCUGUAUGAAAACCACAGAUUUGUAGCCAAUGAUCUUUUACCGAUUGUCUAAGAGCUUCCAUAGGACUUGCUCUGUGCUAUUCCUUUGCGGUAACCUCCAA